AAACCAUGAUGUGGCCAGAGUCUCAUCAUGUCCUUAUAUCUCUCCCAACCCUCAAAGAAAGAUUCACAAAUGACCUGUUUAAAGUAGGUUAUCUAUUUUCUUAACAU
Small nucleolar RNA from Lathyrus oleraceus (garden pea), 107 nucleotides. Lineage: Eukaryota; Viridiplantae; Streptophyta; Magnoliopsida; Fabales; Fabaceae. The record is from RefSeq and is a predicted model, not a curated record.